UGGAAUUGGGCCUUCUGAGGGUUGGGUGCACGGAUCCUUGCUUAAAUGUCAGCGCUGAGCAUCAGCUGCUCACCAUUCAUAUGAACAGUGGCUGUGUUGCAUAGCAAAGACUGCUAAGUUUGGAAUGCUUGAUAUGAGCUUCUUUUCACAUUGAACAACUGAUUCAGAACUGAAGCGCAAAAGGGGAAUCCGACUGUUUAAUUAAAACAAAGCAUUGUGAUGGCAUUUUGAAUGUGUUGAUGCAAUGUGAUUUCUGCCCAGUGCUCUGAAUGUCAAGGUGAUGAAAUUCAAACAAGCGCGGGUAAACGGCGGGAGUAACUAUGACUCUCUUAAGGUAGCCAAAUGCCUCGUCAUCUAAUUAGUGACGCGCAUGAAUGGAUUAACGAGAUUCCUAUUGUCCUUACUUUCAAUUUAGCGAAACCACAGCCAAGGGAACGGGCUUGGGUUAGUCAGCGGGGAAAGAAGACCCUGUUGAGCUUGACUCUAGUCUGACAUUGUGAAAUGACUCAGGAGGUGUAGAAUAAGUGGGAGUAUUCUUGCAAUCAUGAAAUACCACUACUCUUGAUGUUAUUUUACUUAUUCUGUGAAACUCG
Molecule: ribosomal RNA, 593 nt
Filed under: Ostreopsis siamensis
Lineage: Eukaryota; Dinophyceae; Peridiniales; Ostreopsidaceae
Description: partial large subunit ribosomal RNA
Rfam family: Eukaryotic large subunit ribosomal RNA
Source: RNAcentral